UAAGUAUGCACUUUUCCUUCCAUGUAUGUCUUCUUCUUGAAGAUCCAUUUGCACCCGACUGUUUUACAGCCUGGUACAUUGUCAACCAAGUUCCAAACUUGAUUGUCAUACAUGGACUGUAUCUCGCUGUCCAUAGCCUCCUUCCAUUUAGCAGACUCCGGGCCUGCCAUGGCUUCCUUAACACUGCUAGGUUCAUCCAAAUUUACUAGUGUACUAUCACUAAUAAACGUAUCACCUUCCGUAGUAAUAUGAAAACCAUAAUAAAACGAAGGUGUGUUCCUAACCCGUGUGGAACGUCUCGGAGGUACAGACUCGUCAGCUGGAUCAACAGGAGUUUCUACCUCAGGUUGAUUGCUAGUGUCUGAGGUUCCUUCACCAAUUGAUUCUUGAAUUUCUUCAAGAUCAAUCUGCCUCCCACUGUCUCCUUGGCUUAUAAAUUCUUUCUCGCGAAAGAUCCCUCUUCGUGCUACAAAGACCACAUUCUCACUGGGUCUGUAGAAAAGGUAACCGAAGGAUUUCUGUGGGUAGCCGAUGAAAAUACACCUUUCACUUCGGGGUUCAAGCUUAUCAUGAGUUUCACGCCUCACGAAGGCUUCGCAACCCCAAAUUUUGAUGUGGUCCAAAUUGGGAACCUUCCCAGUCCACAUUUCAUGAGGUGUUUUGGUAACCUUCUUUGUAGGGACUAGAUUAAGGAUAUGGGCGGCAGUCUCUAAGGCAUACCCCCAAAAAGAGAUUGGUAACGAAACUCGACUCAUCAUAGAGCGAACCAUGUCCAACAAGGUACGAUUACGCCUCUCAGCUACACCAUUCAGCUGUGGUGUCCUGGGAGGAGUCAAUUGUGAGACAAUCCCACACUCCUUAAGAUAGUCAAGGAACUCGGUACUAAGAUACUCACCACCUCGAUCGGAUCGAAGCAUCUUAAUGUUCCUGCCCAAUUGAUUUUCUACUUCCUGUUUGAAUUCCUUAAACCUUUCAAAGGUUUCGGACUUGUGUUUGAUCAAGUAGACAUACCCAUAUCUACUAUAAUCAUCAAUAAAAGUCACAUAAUACCGAUUAGCGUCCCUUGUGGCGGUUUUGAAUGGCCCACAUACAUCAGUAUGUAUUAGGUCCAACAAACCUUCACCCCUCUCACAAGUUCCAGUGAAGGGUGAUUUUGUCAUUUUUCCAAGUAGACAAGAUUCACAACUAUCAUCUGAUUUGAGGUCAAAUGAUUCCAAGACUCCACUCUUUUGGAGUUGGUCUAUGCGUUUCUUGUUUACAUGUCCAAGACGACAAUGCCACAAUGAUGCUUUAUCUAGGCUAGUAGAAGAAUCAAUAUACAACACAUUAUUUCCUAAGUUGUCUACAAUCGACACAGUUUCAUACACGCCAUCACAAGGUAAUGCUUUAAAAUAAAACACAUUAUUAAAGAAAGCAUUAAUACCACCACAUUCAUUAUCAAACGAAAAGGUAAAACCUUGUUUGUACAAAGCAUGAAAAGAAAUAAUAUUCCUCGCCAUUUCAGACGAGUAUACACAUUUAUUCAAAUCUAAUUUUAACCCAUUAUUAAGCAACAAAGUAUAAACUCCAAUCUUGGAAACAGGUGAAGCCUUCCUAUUCCCCAUGAUUAAGUUUAUCUUCCCGUGCUCCACAUCCUCACUUCUUCUUAGGCCCUGCAAAUCAGAACAUAUGUGAAUACCACAUCCUGUAUCAAGCACCCAAGAGUUAGAAUAUGUUGAGUAAUUAGACAAUAUAGUGUAAAUACCUGCAUAGGUGGGUUUCACUUUCCCAUCCUUUAGAUCCUGCAAGUACUUAGGGCAGUUUCGCUUCCAGUGUGCCUUUUCAUGGCAAUAAAAGCAUUCAGCAUCCUUUGGAAUGGCAGAAGGAGUGACAGAACCGUUCUUAGUCUUGGAUGAGGAGCCUUCAAGAGACUUUCCCUUGGUACCCUUCGAAGGGUGCUUCCUCUUUUUCCCUUUGCCUUGCCCAAUAGCUAAAACAGGGGUAGAAGUUGGAGUAGGAGUAGUAGAGGUAACAACCGCUUUACCCUUAAGACCGGUUUCAGCGGUCUUCAAGAGUCCUUGAAGCUUGCUGAGGGUAACUUCCUCCUUGUUCAUAUGAUAUGUCAUUCGAAAAUGAUCAUAACAAGAAGGCAAGGAGUGCAAAAUGAUGUCAAUUGCUAACUCCUCGGGGAUGUUAACAUUCAGCUUCAGCAAACGGUCCACAUACCUUUGCAUCUUUUGCAUGUGGCCCGUGACGGAUUCACCGUCCUUCAUGCGGGUAGUUAUUAUGGAGGAGAUUAUUUCAUACCGCUCCUGACGAGCACUCUGAUGGUACCUUUCCAUCAAGUCUUGGUGCAUCUCAAAAGGGUAGAAAUCUUCAUAUGACUUUUGGAGCUCGGCUGUCAUCGUGGCCAUCAUGAUACAUGCCACCUUAGUAGCAUCUCUCUCAUGAGUCCUGAAUUCAGCGAUCUCCUCAGGAGUAGCAGUAGACUCAUCAAGUUCUUUUAACUCCUUAUCGAGGACAUAUUCCUUGUCCUCGUAACGAGUAACCAUCCUGAUGUUCCUAAUCCAAUCCAUGAAGUUGGAACCAUCAAAGAUGACCCUCCCACAAAGAUUCAUGAGAGAGAAAGAACCAGUUGGGUUAGAGCCUGAAGCAUUAGUGUUGGAAGACAUCUGAAAGAAGAAAGUAAGUUUAGAUUAGAUAUUUAGGAUCCUUAAUAAGACACCCAAAUGUAAUAUUAAGGCUAGGAUCCAAUCACAAUAUAUUACACUUAGAAGAGGGAUGCCGUAAUCUAAGUAAUAAUAUAUUUGAAAGGUAGGCGAAUGACGAUUCACCAAUUUCCACCAUGAAAACGAAAUGAUUAAUUAGGUUUAAUUGGAUUUGAAAUUCCUAGAUUCUUUUGAGAUUCAUUGAACUUUUCAAUGGCAUGUUUCAAUCUCGAUUGUGCCCUUCAAGUUUUGUGACUGGGAUGCCGAGGAUCACAAAACAAGGUGUGAAUAACCAUGCUAACUCACUUGGUACUCCUAAUAUUAUCACCUAAUCAAUGUGCCGGUUAACCACACACGCUCCAUUGAUCUAUGACAACAUUAAGUUACCCUUCGUGAUCCUUACUAGUCUAAUUAGUGUGCCGGUUAACCACACACGCUCCACUAACGACUUGGUAAGGUACAAAGUGUGAAUUCCAUGGAUUAGCACCAUGUUCACAUUUUCCUAAAAUAACUAAGAUUGGGAAUUAAAAGAGUUUAGUUAUUUUAUAAUAUUCAUUAUACUUUUAAUGAGGAUUUAAAGUCGUUGUUCUACCCGUUCGGCUAACGACCCUCCACCGAUCAAGCAAGCGGUGGGUGAGAGUAUACACCCAUUAAGUCGCCAUUUUAUAGGCAACAACCUUAUACCCACCUUAUAGACCGGCUUCGUGAAUGAGGCCUACUAACGGUAAAACGACUUAUUCUUAUACAUAUAUAUAAUAAUUAACCAUUAAUGUUAUAAAUAGUAUAAGGGUUGAAUUUUAACUAUUAAAACUCUAAGGUUUGGAAUUAAAGUUUAUUAAAGUGUGUGAAACUUUACAAAUUCCAAAACUUGAGGACAAGUUUUGUAACUUUGCAAAACUCUUCAUUUCAUAACUUAUGAAUUAAAGGUUCAUAAAAAUGAAGACUCUUCAUUUUCAUGUAACUUAUGUGUUUUAAGUGUGUGUUAAAUGAAAGUGACCUUUGGUAAUCCAUAACUUGAGGACAAAUUAUGGACUCCAUUAAAACACAUAAAUGAUUAAGAAUUAAUUCUAAACAAUUCAGCAAAUAAUUCCUAUCAUUUUCUAAAUUCAUAAGAACAUGAACAUGAUCAUCAAAAAUUCAAGAAUUAUAUGAACACAUAAAAUCAUGGAUUUUUGAUAUAUGCUAUUGUAAAUGGAUUAGAACAACCAUUACACCAACUAAAAUAAGUUUUACAACACCAAAACAAUUUAGGGUAAUGUUUCCAGUCCAUUUCCAGCAGCAAAAGUCGAGAUUCUGCAUUCUUUCGAUCCUACUCGCCGAGUGCACGAACGGACUCGUCGAGUAGGUUGAAGUUUGCCUUGGACUCGGCGAGUCCCCCCAAUGGACUCGGCGAGUCUAGCAUGCAGACAGCAACGAUUUCGACUUUUUUCACUAUUUUGCAUCAAGUAUCAAACAAGCAAGCCUAGGCUCUGAUACCACUGUUGGGUUUUGAGCAAUCUAACACUUCCUAAGUGUGCAUGCAACCCUAAUAAACCUUGGAUCUAUGUUUGUCUAAAUACAUGCAAAAUAAUAAUUUUCCAAGGUUUAUAACCUAUCUAACAUGGCAUGGGGAACAUUUCAACAUAAAAGAGUUAGAAGAGAUUACAUACCUUUGUUGUGUUGGGUUCUUAGGAGUUUGAGGGCCAAGCACCAAUAGUGUGAAUGCCUCAAAUGGAAUCACAAACACCACAAACUCUUGGAAAACUUUGAGAGAGUAUACACACUCUUGUAUUUUCGGCCACACACAUGCACACACACACUAGAACACUAGCUUUCUCUUAGGCUAUCUUAGGCUCUCUUUCAUGCUCCAUAAGCAUGCUUAUAUAGUAUGCAUGGUUAGGGUGAAACCCUAAUAACCCAUGUCUUUUCCUAUUCCAAGGAUCCAUGGGUUAAAAGCUCCAUGGAUCAUCCAUGGACUUCCACAUAAGCCUAGCCCAUUAACAAAUGAGUAUUAGCCCACACUAUAUAAAACAAAUAGCCCAUAAUUUAAUUAGUAUUCCUUUUAAUCUCUAAAUUAAUCCAUAAUUAAUUUAAGACUAAAACUAAUUAAAUAACGUAACUUCAUAUUAAUAUAUUAUAACUCAUAAUAUAUUAAUAAACAUAUGUGUAUAACUCUCAUAAAAUUAUCCAUAAUAGUUUGGAUGAGAUGCAACCCAAAUGGACCAUGCCGGUCGGGUCAAGUAUAUACCAAAUAAGUUAUGGACUUAGACACCUUAUCCAACAGACUCCCACUUGGAUAAGUCUAAUAACUAUAUUUGCCUAUAACUUCAGGAACCAACCAACAAUCGUAGCUCUCGAAAACUCCCUCGAACAAUGAAGACUCUGUCGAACUAUGAAGCGCCAUUUUAGAUAAGUGAUCACAUAAUCCUCUGUUCUCAUGAUAUCAGCCGGACAAACACAUGGAACUAUGUCUUGCUUAUUGUCUAGCAGUUGUUUCUCGAUUAUCCGAUUUGUUUGACGAAGAACUUCACUGAACACAUCGGUUUAGUUCUGACCAGGCCUGGUAUAUGGGUCAACACAAAAUCAUCGAGGGGCCCGGAUAUCGCUUCUAUUUCUAGAAGGAACAGAUAAACUUCGACUGAUAUGCUUGUUCUACUACUUAUUGAAUUGUACACAAAGGCACGUUUUAUAACAUCAAGUUACUGAUGCGUUUACGUGCAAUCAAUGCACAACCAACUCAUAGGUAACAACUCAUAUCUCUAGGUUUAAAGAUUUAUAUGAUGUUAUCGUCUCACGAUCACUCGAGAUAAAUUCCAUGAAGUGAUACAAGUGAGCGUGGGUUUAUACCAAUACUCAUAACUUAUGAGUACUCAUGAAUGUUGCAGCAACCAUUGCCAUGCCUAAACACCUUUAAGGCAUCUACAAACCCAAUUCAUGACAAUCUUGAUUCAUACCUACUUCCGACGUAUGAUCGAUUGUGGAGGUUUGAACAAAUUAAUUAUUCUGGAAGUCAAAACAUGCAAAACUGAAACAAUAGUAAAUAAUUGACAAUGAUAGUAACACUUUACUCAUAAAUAAAUCACAAAUUUUAUUCAUCAUCAAACGUCGAUUACAUUUUACAAGUUUCAGGAAAACUAUCUAAUCUGUAAAACUAAUAUCGUCCCUCAGCCCGAUGCGUCUCGCAUGCUGAAAAUGCUUAACCCUCGUCAGUCCCUUCGUAAGGGGAUCUGCAGGAUUCUCAUCUGACGAUAUCCUCCUUGUCACAAGGAGUCCUUCUUCAAUCUUGUGCCUUAUGAAGUGAUAUUUUCUGUCAAUGUGUCGGGAUCUGCCAUGAUCUCUUGGUUCCUUGGCUAAGAUAACCGCAGCAUUGUUGUCACAGAAAAUCUCUAUAGGUUCCUUAAUAGCUGGUACAACUCCAAGGUCUCCGAUGAAGUUCUUUAGCCAUAUCGCCUCCUUCGCUGCUUCACUCGCUGCUAUAUACUCUGAUUCACAAGUCGAAUCAGCCACCGUCUCCUGCUUGGAACUCUUCCAAGAAAUUGCCCCUCCAUUUAAGGUAAAGAUCCAGCCCGACUGAGAGCGGAAAUUAUCCCUAUCAGUCUGAAAACCAGCAUCACUAUACCCUAAUAUUCUCAAGUCAUCACUGCCACCAAGGGUAAGGACCCAAUCCUUAGUCCUCCGCAGGUACUUGAGAAUGUUCUUUACCGCGGUCCAAUGAGCCUUGCCAGGGUUCCCCUGAUACCUGCUGACCAUGCUCAAAGCAAAUGCCACAUCAGGACGGGUACAAGUCAUAGCAUACAUGAUCGAGCCAACUGCGGAAGCAUAUGGUAAUUGGCUCAUCUCAGCUAUCUCAGCCUCUGUACUCGGACUCUGAGUCUUACUCAGUUUGGUAUUGCUUUGGAUCGGUAAAUCUCCUUUCUUGGAAUUCUCCAUGUUGAACCUUUUCAACACCUUAUCCAAGUAGAUACUCUGACUAAGUCCAAUUAGUCUUCUACUCCUUUCUCUUAAUAUCCUUAUCCCUAGGAUAUAGGUAGCCUCCCCUAGGUCCUUCAUAGCAAAGCACUUCCCAAGCCAGGACUUAACCUCCUGCAAGGUUGGGAUGUCAUUUCCUAUGAGUAGUAUGUCAUCCACAUACAGUACCAAGAAGCUAACUAUACUCCCACUAGCUCUGACAUACACGCAAGACUCAUCUUCGCUUCUCAAGAAGCCAAACUCUUUUACCUUCUCAUCAAAACAAAGAUUCCAGCUACGAGAUGCUUGUUUUAAUCCAUAAAUGGAUUUCUUAAGCUUGCAUACUCUAUUAGGGUACUCUGCAUUGACAAAACCCUCUGGCUGAUUCAUGUACACAUCCUCAGCCAACUUUCCAUUAAGGAAAGCGGUUUUGACAUCCAUUUGCCAUAUUUCAUAAUCAUGAAAUGCUGCAAUGGCUAACAUAACCCUAAUAGACUUAAUCUUGGCCACCGGCGAGAAGGUUUCAUCAUAAUCAAUACCUUGAGUUUGAGUAAAACCCUUCGCAACCAGUCGAGCCUUAUAAGUAUGCACUUUUCCUUCCAUGUCGGUCUUCUUUUUGAAGAUCCAUUUGCACCCGACUGUUUUACGGCCUGGUACAUUGUCAACCAAGUUCCAAACUUGAUUGUCAUACAUGGACUGUAUCUCGCUGUCCAUAGCCUCCUUCCAUUUAGCAGACUCCGGGCCUGCCAUGGCUUCCUUAACACUGCUAGGUUCAUCCAAAUUUACUAGUGUACUAUCACUAAUAAACGUAUCACCUUCCGUAGUAAUAUGAAAACCAUAAUAAAACGAAGGUGUGUUCCUAACCCGUGUGGAACGUCUCGGAGGUACAGACUCGUCAGCUGGAUCAACAGGAGUUUCUUCCUCAGGUUGAUUGCUAGUGUCUGAGGUUCCUUCACCAAUUGAUUCUUGAAUUUCUUCAAGAUCAAUCUGCCUCCCACUGUCUCCUUGGCUUAUAAAUUCUUUCUCGCGAAAGAUCCCUCUUCGUGCUACAAAGACCACAUUCUCACUGGGUCUGUAGAAAAGGUAACCGAAGGAUUUCUGUGGGUAGCCGAUGAAAAUACACCUUUCACUUCGGGGUUCAAGCUUAUCAUGAGUUUCACGCCUCA
RNAcentral lists this long non-coding RNA (7780 nucleotides) under Lactuca sativa (garden lettuce). RNAcentral describes it as "long non-coding RNA (LSAT_LNC001018)". Lineage: Eukaryota; Viridiplantae; Streptophyta; Magnoliopsida; Asterales; Asteraceae. The record is from RNAcentral.